Small nuclear RNA from Suncus etruscus (white-toothed pygmy shrew), 192 nucleotides. RefSeq annotates it as U2 spliceosomal RNA. NCBI's taxonomy places the organism in Eukaryota, Metazoa, Chordata, Mammalia, Eulipotyphla, Soricidae. The transcript has a single exon. The record is from RefSeq and is a predicted model, not a curated record.
AUCGCUUCUCAUCCUUUUGGCUAAGAUCAAGUGAUAAGAUCUGUUCUUAUCAGUUUAGUAUCUGGCAUGUCCUCUAUCCAAGGACAUUAUAUUAAAUGGAUAUUUGGAGCAGGGAGUUGGAAUUGGAGCUUGCUCCGUCCACUUCACGUAUCGACCUGGUAUUGCAGUACUUACAGGAAUGAUGCACAAAAA